This 84-nucleotide transfer RNA is filed under the name Candidatus Gracilibacteria bacterium 28_42_T64. RNAcentral's name for it is "tRNA-Leu". It matches the Rfam family "tRNA". Rfam says of the family: Transfer RNA (tRNA) molecules are approximately 80 nucleotides in length. The record is from RNAcentral. Lineage: Bacteria; Candidatus Altimarinota.
GCCCAGAUGGUGGAAUUGGUAGACACGUCGGUCUUAGAAGCCGGUGCUUCGUGCGUGAGAGUUCAAGUCUCUCUCUGGGCACCA